GUUCAGCAUGGCAACUGCUGAGACUGGAAUGUCCAAAGUGCCAAGGCAAGUCACCAGGCCAUCCUGGGGUCAAGGAGAGGAGGGCAGAGUCCACCAUUGCAGUGGGACAGCACGCAUGUACAGAUGGGGAGGAACGCAUGGUGACCAUCUUCGAAGGCUCUGCACCACACAGGAGUUAGCAGGCUGCUUUAUAACUGUUUCAAAGACACAGUUCUGAGUAGUGGACUAUUCUCCAGCAAUGAAAAUGAAUGAACUACAGCUACAUGUGAGAGCAUUGAUCAAUCUUUCAAACAUCACAAUGAUUAAAAAAG
RNAcentral lists this long non-coding RNA (311 nucleotides) under Homo sapiens (human). Its description in RNAcentral is "HSALNT0195391". The record is from RNAcentral. Lineage: Eukaryota; Metazoa; Chordata; Mammalia; Primates; Hominidae.